CCUGUUGCAUUUUGGGUCAUUCUCUCUGUUUCCCUUGCUGCAGUCCAUCCCUCGUUCUCUCCCUUGCCCAAUUAGAACCCCAAACCCUCCCUCUCCGCCUCUUACCACAGGCCAUCCCUCACUUCUCUCUCUCUCUCUCUCUCUCUCGUCUAAAGGAAACCCACAAACCCUCCUUCUCCACCCCUCACUGCCGGCCAUCACUCAUUCUCUCUCUCUCUUUCUCAUCUAAAGGAAACCCCCAAAACCUUCCUCUUUGUUAUCAUUGGAAGCCUUCCCUCUCCGCCGUCGUCGGAAGCCAUCCCUCUUAGCCAUCGCUGGAAGUUGUACCUGUCAACCGUUGCUGGGAGCUGAACCUCUCCGUCAUCACUUGGAGCAGCCUUGUUCGUCCUUACUAGAAGACACCCAUCUUCCCUUCUCAAUUUGCUGUGGUUUGGUAGCUCAAAGAUAAUUUUUUUUAAUGGCUCAUGUGAGGUCGGGUAAGAAAGCCCAUCAAGUCGAGAGCUCCCGAACUUCCAAGGAGCAAAAGAGGCAGAAUACAACUCUCCAUUGACUAAUAAAUUAUUGGUGCUACCUUCAGAGAUACAGAGAGUUUAUAAAGGGUAUCUAUGAAAGAUUGACGGAUGCCCAUAAGGCGAUGAUAAGGCAAACAUCCUUCCAUUACAUGCUCAUAACAUAGGAGAGGGCGGUGAUAGACCAUCUUCUUCAUUGUUGGGAAGAAAGUAGGAGAGGUUUUAGAUUGGGAGGCUAAACUUUGGUCUUCUUCCCAGAUGACAUCACCAUCAUUCUUAGGCUACCCCUUAAUGGGAUAGCCAUAAAUUUCAAGAACGCUUAUCCAAUGUGUUGAGGACAACAUACUUCAAGGAGCCAAUAGUCAGGAGGGAUGCAUUAGAAUAUAGAAUAAAAGUAUUGUUAGAUGAUAAUUCUUCCGACUAUGGUAUAGUUGCUUGUCAUGUACUUUUAGGUACAGUUUUCUCUCCUUCCUCCAGUCCUAGCGUUGCACCAUGGAUCUACUCCUACAUUGACUCCGUAGGUAAGAUUGGUUGUUUUGCUUGGGCGAGAGCAGUCUAUGAGCGCUUAAUAGAAUUUAUCCCUAGGGCUGCUGAAAAAGUUAAAAGGAAGGUUAGAGGUGCCAAGGAGAGCACUGGAUAUCUAAAUAGCUACGUUACUGUCCUGAUGGUAAGCACUAUAUUUUAUUAUUACUUCAUGGAUGAAUUUGAUUAGUCAUGAAUGAAUUUGAUAACUCAUUUUGCUUACUUUUCUUAUUGUUCACUUUUUAUUUUCUAGUUUCGCUUCUUGAGUGGACAGGCAUAGUCAAACCAAGAAAUUAUGGAUUGCUCCCAAGAAUUAUGAACUGGGAUAGACCACAGCUCAUGAAAAGGGCCCAUGUUGGACAGUUGAUGAAGGGCUUUAAGGAGGGAGAUAUUAUCAAACCACCACGAGCAACAGAGGAUGAGGAGUUGCUUUUCAAAGUGGGACUUUCAAGCUAUCCUACCAAGAAGGACGAAGGUACUAGCAAGAGGAGUAGGACAGCAAGGAAAAUAAGCAUGGCUGAGAUGGCACGCAGUAGUACCAUGGCAUGUGGCUAUGGAGGCUACCUGGAGGAGGGCUAUGGAGGAGAAUGCUGAGAUUAUGGAGCUAUGGAAGAUUGUCACUGAACAGCAGAAAUUAAUUACUGAGCUGAUCAAGGUGUUGAAGGGGGAGAAGGCUGCUGAGAAAUUGAGUUUUAAGACGGAGGUUGAUAUGCCUCUGUAUGAGUUUGAGAGUGGUGGUAGCCCGAGAGUAGCUGAUGAGCAAGCAGAAAUUCAGCCUUCUAAGAGGCGGGUGACAGAGAGGGUACUUAAGGUCUCCUUAGUCUUACAAAGUCCUUUCAUCCCACUACCAUGAAGUCCUCCUGCUCCUGAAUGAGGCAUAGAAAAAGGAAAACCUAUAAAAGGAAUGACAGGGAGGAGUUUGUUGAAAGCAGACGUGACUUUCCCAACAUGGAACUUGUAGAGGAUGGGGAACAACAAUAUAUCAUUGACUUUCUAGGGCAAAAAAUGGAUUGCUUAGGUCAUUGGUUUGAAGGGAUGGCAUCAGCAUCAUCAAUAGGCCAUAGGUGCAUGACAUCUUGGCGGGUAACAUGAUCAAUGAUGAUUGAAAGCAGUUUUAGGCACUACAGCUCCAUUUCUAGAGGGAAGUAUGGACGAGUCGAUCCCAAAUUUGUUAACAGGUUUGGCAAGAUGGCAUGAGAAAUCUACAUUGGUGAUAUGGGUGGUUCAGUUUUUGAUUGUCCUUGGUACAAUGAAAGGUUUGAUUGUGUCAUUGAUGUGAAAAAUUUUACAAGUGCAUAGUGAGUGGAACAAAGAUUACCAUUACAGAUGCUAAUGUUCCAUGAUUUCAUGCUAAAUAUGCUACCGAGAUUAUAAUGAAGGGUCUAGAAGGGGCAUGAUUAUAUGUAUCCUAUCCAUUGUGUUACAAUUUUUUUUGUUUUUGAUGGAUUGUUGUCUUACAAUAUUGUACUCCAAAGUUGUAUUUUGGAAGAGUCCCAAUGUAUAUGUUUUUUUAGGAACAUAUUUGUAUUACACCUCAGUAUUAGUUGUAAGAGGUCAUCCAUUUUAUAACUUUUUUUUUUUAUCGAGUAGCCCGAGUAUGCUUCUUAAAGAUAGAAAUCAUAUAGUGCUCAAUGAGCAUUGUGAAUCUA
Phoenix dactylifera (date palm) is the source of this 2680-nucleotide non-coding RNA. NCBI's taxonomy places the organism in Eukaryota, Viridiplantae, Streptophyta, Magnoliopsida, Arecales, Arecaceae. The record is from RefSeq and is a predicted model, not a curated record.